GGUUUACACUUGAUCUCUGAACUUCAGGUAAGUUUGCAUGUUUGACAAGUUUACAUGCUGAUGCU
Molecule: non-coding RNA, 65 nt
Organism: Eucalyptus grandis
Lineage: Eukaryota; Viridiplantae; Streptophyta; Magnoliopsida; Myrtales; Myrtaceae
Source: Rfam